RNAcentral lists this transfer RNA (72 nucleotides) under Culcita novaeguineae. RNAcentral's name for it is "tRNA-Met". Lineage: Eukaryota; Metazoa; Echinodermata; Asteroidea; Valvatida; Oreasteridae. The record is from RNAcentral.
AGUAAAGUAAGCUAAUUAAAAGCUUUUGGGUUCAUACCCCAAGAAUGGAAGGAUAGAUACCUCCCUUUAUUU